Molecule: ribosomal RNA, 462 nt
Filed under: uncultured soil bacterium
Lineage: Bacteria
Description: bacterial SSU rRNA
Rfam family: Bacterial small subunit ribosomal RNA
Source: RNAcentral
AGGACGAACGCUGGCGGCGUGCUUAACACAUGCAAGUCGAGCGGUAAGGCCUUUCGGGGUACACGAGCGGCGAACGGGUGAGUAACACGUGGGUGAUCUGCCCUGCACUCUGGGAUAAGCCUGGGAAACUGGGUCUAAUACCGGAUAUGACCUGCUCUCGCAUGGGGGUGGGUGGAAAGAUUUAUCGGUGCAGGAUGGGCCCGCGGCCUAUCAGUCUUGGUUGGUGGGGUAAUGGCCUACCAAGGCGACGACGGGUAGCCGACCUGAGAGGGUGACCGGCCACACUGGGACUGAGACACGGCCCAGACUCCGUACGGGAGGCAGCGAGUAGGGAAGUAAUUGCACAAGUAGGGACGGAAAGACUGAUGCAGCGACGCCGCGUGAGGAGUGGAAGCCGUUCGGUUAGUAACCUCUUUCAGCGAGGAACGACGACGACGAAGUGACCGUACGUGACGAGAAGAA